This 253-nucleotide ribosomal RNA is filed under the name uncultured bacterium. RNAcentral's name for it is "partial 16S ribosomal RNA". It matches the Rfam family "Bacterial small subunit ribosomal RNA", at positions 524 to 776 of the family's 1533-position model. The record is from RNAcentral.
CACGUAGGGGGCGAGCGUUGUCCGGAUUUAUUGGGCGUAAAGGGUGCGUAGGCGGUUUGGUAAGUCUUAUGUGAAAUCUACAGGCUCAACUUGUAGUCUGCAUGAGAAACUGCCGGGCUUGAGUGUGGGAGAGGUGAGUGGAAUUCCUGGUGUAGCGGUGAAAUGCGUAGAUAUGCGGAGGAACACCGAUGGCGAAGGCAAUCCCCUGGACCUGUACUGACGCUCAUGCACGAAAGCGUGGGGAGCAAACAGG